UACUGAGGGUGCAAACGUUAUCCGGAAUUACUGGGCGUAAAGGGCGUGUAGGCGGUUUGUUAAGUCCGAUGUUAAAGGCCGGGGCUCAACCCCGGUACGGCGUUGGAUACUGGCAAACUAGACGGCUGGAGAGGCAAGUGGAAUUACCAGUGUAGCGGUGGAAUGCGUAGAUACUGGUAGGAACACUCAUUGCGAAGGCAGCUUGCUGGACAGCACGUGACGCUAAGGCGCGAAAGUGUGGGGAGCAAAC
This 250-nucleotide ribosomal RNA is filed under the name uncultured bacterium. RNAcentral's name for it is "partial 16S ribosomal RNA". It matches the Rfam family "Bacterial small subunit ribosomal RNA", at positions 524 to 773 of the family's 1533-position model. The record is from RNAcentral.